Molecule: ribosomal RNA, 253 nt
Filed under: uncultured bacterium
Lineage: Bacteria
Description: partial 16S ribosomal RNA
Rfam family: Bacterial small subunit ribosomal RNA
Source: RNAcentral
UACGUAGGGUGCAAGCGUUAAUCGGAAUUACUGGGCGUAAAGCGUGCGCAGGCGGUUUUGUAUGUCAGAUGUGAAAUCCCCGGGCUUAACCUGGGAACUGCGUUUGAAACUACAAGGCUAGAGUGUGGCAGAGGGGGGUGGAAUUCCACGUGUAGCAGUGAAAUGCGUAGAGAUCGGGAGGAACACCUGUGGCGAAGGCGGCUCGCUGGGCCGGUCCUGACGCUGAGACGCGAAGGCGUGGGGAGCGAACGGG